GUUACCGCUCAGCCGGAGAGAGCUAGCGUGCGUUAGCAUGUUAGCUGCGAUCACGCUUCAGUUUGUAGAAGAGAACGGACAUUUUCCAAACCAAAGAUGAGUCUUUAGAAUUAUGUCAUAUUUUAUCUACAGUCCAACCUCUAAGCAGGACUGUUACUUUAGUAGAUAAUGUUAUUUGUGGGGUUUGUGUAACAGAACCCCAUCAGAAUAUAUUUCCCUAGCGCUAUCGCUGUGCUACAUAAGAAUAAAUAAUGUCAGCCAUAACAACACGUUUGACUAAAAGUAAAGUUGUGCAGAAGUUUGUGUUUAUUUUUCUAAAUUUGUCCAGUUGAAUGUAGGUCAGAAUAAAAUAUGUUUGUGAAAAUGAUAAAUAAUUUUUUUUAUAACUGACCUGCAUUUUCAUAUUACUAGUUGUGCCACAGGUAAAGAAGCUUAGCCAUUAUUGAUCUAUGUAAACAGAAGGUGUAGAGUCUCAACCAACUUUUUGACAUUUUUGUUUAAAAAUGUGUUUUCCAGCUACCGGAAGAAGCAGGCUCCUGAAACUGCAAUUCAGGGAGGUUAUGUGAAGGCAACCUCAACACCCAGUAAGAGAACAGCAGCUAAAAUGUCGCAUCGAUUAUCUCCAACUGAACCUGUGUCUGAGGGGGAAGAUUUUCUAAUGGCUGGUGUUGAGGCCUUAGCUGAUGACCUAGAUUUGGAUCCUUUUGAAGAAAGUUUCAAAUCCAUGGAUCUAGCUACGGAUGCAGUCCAAAUUGAUGAGGACCAAGCAAACAACUUACUCAACAGUGUGCUGGGAUCCUAAAGGGAAUUUCCAUCCUACUUGUGUGGCUGAAUGACAUC
Nothobranchius furzeri (turquoise killifish) is the source of this 840-nucleotide long non-coding RNA. RefSeq lists it as uncharacterized. Lineage: Eukaryota; Metazoa; Chordata; Actinopteri; Cyprinodontiformes; Nothobranchiidae. The record is from RefSeq and is a predicted model, not a curated record.